This 253-nucleotide ribosomal RNA is filed under the name uncultured bacterium. RNAcentral's name for it is "partial 16S ribosomal RNA". It matches the Rfam family "Bacterial small subunit ribosomal RNA", at positions 524 to 776 of the family's 1533-position model. The record is from RNAcentral.
UACGUAGGGGGCAAGCGUUGUCCGGAUUUAUUGGGCGUAAAGAGCGUGUAGGCGGCCAGGUAGGUCUGCUGUGAAAACUCGAGGCUUAACCUCGAGCUGUCGGCGGAAACCAUCUGGCUAUAGUCCGGAAGAGGAGAAUGGAAUUCCCGGUGUAGCGGUGAAAUGCGCAGAUAUCGGGAAGAACACCCGUGGCGAAGGCGGUUCUCUGGGACGGUACUGACGCUGAGACGCGAAAGCGUGGGGAGCGAACAGG